RNAcentral lists this small RNA (129 nucleotides) under Planktothrix serta PCC 8927. RNAcentral describes it as "HEARO". It matches the Rfam family "HNH endonuclease-associated RNA and ORF (HEARO) RNA", at positions 1 to 132 of the family's 211-position model. The record is from RNAcentral. Lineage: Bacteria; Bacillati; Cyanobacteriota; Cyanophyceae; Oscillatoriales; Microcoleaceae.
GUCAGCACCCCGCACUGAAGUGACGGGGCUUCAUGCCUCUAGCUUCAGUUAGUUGACCAGCCCAAGUCUUAACUGACUACGUUACCUGAGUCAAGAUAAACAGGUUUACCUAUUUCAACUGGCUCUGGA